UCGAGAAUCUUCCGCAAUGGACGAAAGUCUGACGGAGCGACGCCGCGUGCGGGAUGAAGGCCCUUGGGUUGUAAACCGCUGUCAGAGGGGAUGAAAUCUUCGAAGGUUAUCCUUCGAAGUUGACAGAGCCUCAAAGGAAGCACGGGCUAAGUACGUGCCAGCAGCCGCGGUAACACGUACUGUGCGAACGUUAUUCGGAAUCACUGGGCUUAAAGGGUGCGUAGGCGGCGAUACAAGUCAGGUGUGAAAUGCCGGAGCUCAACUGCGGCAUUGCGCUUGAAACUGUGUUGCUGGAGUAUUUCAGGGGUGUGGGGAACUGCCAGUGGAGCGGUGAAAUGUGUUGAUAUUGGCAGGAACACCGGAGGCGAAAGCGCCACACUGGGGAAUAACUGACGCUGAGGCACGAAAGCCAGGGGAGCGAACGGGAUUAGAUACCCAAGUAGUCCCUGAGCGGGCUGGCAAGGCGCAU
Molecule: ribosomal RNA, 469 nt
Filed under: uncultured bacterium
Lineage: Bacteria
Description: bacterial SSU rRNA
Rfam family: Bacterial small subunit ribosomal RNA
Source: RNAcentral